Long non-coding RNA from Cephus cinctus (wheat stem sawfly), 7111 nucleotides. RefSeq lists it as uncharacterized. NCBI's taxonomy places the organism in Eukaryota, Metazoa, Arthropoda, Insecta, Hymenoptera, Cephidae. The transcript has 3 exons. The record is from RefSeq and is a predicted model, not a curated record.
GAUUAGUUCCGCAGAGCCACGACACAGUCAGCCUUGAACCAAAUUACUGCCGGCCGUUGUUUAGUUGUUUAGCCAGCGCUGCACCAUUAUGCCUGGAGAAUAUUUACGGUAGCAUCCGACGAGACACUGCAUGGUAAUUCGUGUGGUUGAAGUUGACGAAGUGAACUAAGUGGAUCGAUGGGGAUUACCUAUGGAAAUAUUUUUAGGUUACUUAUUAAAUUGUGCGGCUACGUACGUGAAAACUUCGAGGAGCUGUAUGCAUUUACGCAGUUAUAGCCUUACUGUCGUUUGAAUUUACUUAAGUAGGAAACGACCGAAUGAUGCAGCAAAAGAGUGUCGCGAUUUCCGUUACGCCAGGAGAGAACCAGUUCUUUCUCUUCUUUGGCAGACAGGUAAUACGUCUAAUCAUGGUUCUUCGUGGUGGCUUACGUAACCGCAACACGCAAACGUAUACGUAGCUCGCGCACGGCAUUUUCAAGAGAGAGCUUGGCUGUCUCCUCGCCGACAAGAGGAAGAACUCGCGCGGAGUUUGGUGUACCAGGAAAAAGUUGACGUUUAAAAAAAAAAAGGAACGUCUCGCGCGAUGUGUCCACUUCUACGUGCCGUCGCUGCGAAGAUUCAUGGUUUAAAAACAGUGUUUACGCCUUCCUUUAACCGUCGUUUGAGGAAGCGAAGUUUCAGUGGAAAUGACGACAAGGGAGGGCAAGGAUUGGCCAACCCUGGCGUGAAUGGUAUGCGCUAUGUCCGAAAUAGCCAUGAGCCAAGGCCGCAGGAAACUAUCUCCAAACAAACGUGAUUAUUUAUGGCAUCGAGGAUCGGUAAAGUUUUCUGCAUCGUUUCUAAAGUGAUUGUCACUCGUUAAUUACAAAAAAUUGUAUGCUUGUUCCCAAAGCCACUGGUAGACAGUGAGUAGCGAUAUACGUAUAUAUGCAAUUAUUGUGUCUUGUGUCUCUUGCAUUAACCAGUCGUAAUGAUAAUGGCCGACUCUACCUCUAGAAUCGAAGAGAUCCUGUUGCCCUGUAGCAGAUUCACUUUCGUCUCGCAUUCACGCGAGACUCGUUGCAAUCCAAUACGCCUAUCCUUGAGGACAACAACGUCACGGUUCAACGAGACCAUCUCCCUGGUCCAAUAAGUAAGCCUGGCACGAAUGUCAUAUUGCAACGACCCGCCGUUCGUGCACGAUGGCGUCUCUGUUGGGAUCGACUGCGCAACGCGAGAAGAAGAAACAGCUUUACGGAAGAAGAAAGAGGCGACAGAAAGAGGGAAGGAAUAAAUAAGAAGUGAAAAAAAGACAAGCAAGGGAACAUUGCGUAAUGACGAAAAGAAAUAAACGUUCGAUCAAAGAUACAGCAACCACGUGGCUCACGAAGUUGUGAAUAAUAAAGAGUAGGCGACUGACCGAUUAUCGAAUUCUAUUUACACGCGACGCCGCUAACCUCUGCAUUUGCGUAACCCGGAAAACUAUAAGAUUUUUGCAUAAUACCGAACGAACCGGUUUAACCGAUUCUCUAUUAUCACGAGUCUGGCGAUCGAUAGAUCGUAAGCAGAAAAAAAUAAUUAAAUAGAAAUUCAAUAUCGAACAUCGAAUUAUUGUGAUUAUCGCGUUUCUCUAACCGCAGCCAAUGUGGGCAGGGUCCCAACGGAGAAUGCACUUCCUGCUUAAAUAAUGGAGAUGGGAAAAAAAGAGUGACAGGAAGUACCGGGUAACUUCGUACGGAUUUUACAAUUGCGUUUUUUUGUCCUAGACUCUGCUAAUAUUAAAGUCAAACAUAUAUAUACAUAUAUUUCAUCGCAAAGAGACAAGCGUCAGUCUUCUUUGACUGCUCGUAAAAAUUCUACACGUUUCUUCGAGACGGUGCUGCAUCCAGCGCGCUCUUGUUCACGGCCGACCAAAGCUCAGGGCUCUGCGGUCGAUUCAAUUCGCCCGGUGAAAUAAUGGCGACGCCAGUAGGUAACGCUGACUUACGGCCAGUAAAUCUUGAAUUCUUGUCAGAGUCGGUAUGAUUUGUAUCGCGACGCGUCCCGACGAUCCUCAGUCAAGGUACGAAGAACAACGGUAACGCGAACUGACCACGGCUUUCAACUUAAAUCCAUUAGAAAAUAGUUUCCCGUAAUGGCCGUUGCAGCCGGCGGCAUCUGGAAACGCGCCUUAAGGCUACGAGCGCCACGACAGUGAGAGCGUUACUGUCAUAAGACAUUACAAAACGAUCCUUGCUCUAUGAUAACAAAUGGCCCUAACACACUGCGUGUACUUGGUAAUACAUAUAUUCUUUUUCUCAAGCCACAUAACCGCCGUGUACUCAGAUAUACAGAAUAUUAUCGCACGAUGGAAAUAUUUAGUAAAUUCUCACUGCCAUUGCUCCCAGGUACGUUGCACGAAGUGUUUGGACUCAUCGGCGUAUGUACACAGCUGCGAGCAAGGACACAGAACGGACUGUUCAAAAGUGUGCCCGAGUAUCUUCCGCCGAAAUUCAGACAUUGUUCGUGCCAGACUGUAAAUGCGUGUAUAGACACACACGUGCAUUGAUGAUAAGCAUAAUUAUGCAGAAUGAAGCUGGAGAAGUUCGCAUAACGGGAAUGAGAAGCAGCGAGCCACGAAGUCGUCCUUGGCCGCUCCUCCUGGUAUUAAAUAAACGGCUACCUCCUGGGAAUCAUUUCCUGGACAUGUUCAGCCAAGAGUGUCGGACGGUAUAGCAUUUGAUUGAUAUAUUUGUCCGUGUCUACGACAAUGAUUAUUUUAACCCUGAGGAGGUUCCUUCCCGAACGAUUCACCAGGGUACCGAGGCUCUACGCCAUACGGACGAUCCUAACCUCUUACAGUGAAAUCAACAGUCGGCAUAAGUACCGGUGUAACGGACGAGAGUGAAAGAGGUUUCGCUUUCGUCGGAACAUUCCCACUCCGGGAUUUGUACCUAACCUAACCUACCUGGCUACCUCGUUGCGUUUCCCCGUUACCUGGUGACCUACUCCCAAGGCACGAGCUCACGCUCUGACGCAGACGCACACGCAGCCAUGUCUUAUCCCGCGAGCUUAGAAAGUGAACGUCGUCCUCGUCGUCAUCUUUGGCAGCGGCGAAAGGUGCCUUCCGUGUGUUACUCUACGUGUAUGCACUGCGCCCAGGAGGUUAUCAGGGUUUUGGGAAAGAUGAAAGAAAUUUUCAUAAAUUUUUCAAGACGAUUCAAAAAAGUGUUUUUCUUCCUUUAGAAACGACCUACCGGCAUGAGUCAUUGGAGAUCUUCAUCAGCUCUGCGGAUGCGAGGUCCGACGAGUAGAAUUUCUGUACUUUGGUUAGAAAUUCUAUGCGGCUGGACUUGGAAUCAUUAAACUGUCUUCGCGGAGCAUAAUUCAUGCUCGUUCUAUCUUUUGAUUUGUGCGUCGUAAACCGUUUACGUAUCACGGCACUUGAGCGUGGCGCCUGGGCACAAGGUGGUUUUCAAUGCUGGACGAUAUCGAGAGAUAAGAAUAAAAUGUAUCGAGUCUACGUGUACAGUUUAGUUGCGUACAACAGGCACCUUCUGACACGCAUGCGGAAAGCGAGUCGAGAGUUCCUAGUGAUUUCUCUUAACGCACACGCGAAUAUCCUUCCCGGUUAAGUCCGCCGUGAGGAUAGUGGGGAGGUCCGUAUGCACGGGAUAGUCGGUAUUACAGUUAUAUAUGCCUAUAAAAAUUACACGUUAAUCGAACGGACGGAAUGCGAAAAAAGAAGCUGUCCUGGUAAAAUUGCACUUCCGGAAACACGUCUCCCGAGCAUUUUUCAUGCCGAUCGUGGAAUCCGGGCAAGCACCUAACUCGAGUAAUAUGAAACAUAUACCCAGUGUCAAAUCUGACCUUAAGCUAAUUAUUAAACAGUGACUUAUGGGGUAAUAAAAAAAAGGCCAAGUGUUAUAGUACCAAAACGAUUUCUAUUCCGGUUUUAAAAUAUAACGAGGAUUAGAAAUGACCGUCACUUUUUUAAUUUAAUUCUGGUUUCUCUUUGUCUAAUAUUUCACGACGUUCCUCUUACAGCUGGACGUACGGGCAGACUUUGGAUACAGGAAGACGGGUCUGACGCUACUGUGAGAACUGCGUGUCUGGAUGCUGGAGCGCGCCAGGACCUAUUUGCAAAAAGGUCGAAUCGACUCUUUUUGCUCGACAAUGCUCAGGCAGCAUGUCGUGCGGUGUCUGGGCCCGGCUAGUGAAAGCUGCGGAGCCACUUUCCCCAGGGCGAACGAGCGCUCAGCUGGUUUCCGGGGGCCCCACUAGCCUGGCCCCAGUCCCAUCCAACGCCGUGGUAUCAGACCUCAAUAGAACACAGUUACUCACGUCCCACCAUCGCUCCACUAAAAGUCUUACCGGAACCCUACGGCACCAACCCGAUGAUGCCUCGUGGGCAUGAUUACUGGAAAAGUAUUGAUCUGGCACCUUGUGGAUGGAUUCUGGCGGUAUCAAUUGAUAGUAAUAAAUUAUCCAGGAGCACCGAGUGUCAUUUGGUCUCCCUUUUGGAAUUAUCCAAUUUUUAUGUCAGAUCUCGCUUUUACUUUCUCUGAUUGAUCAUUGACCAAAUAGAAGUAGGUGAUUCCAGGCUCUCUCUAUGAUUAUCCCACUUCGCGAAUGGCGGUCAAGCACAUUCCGUAGGUCAGUUCUGCAUCACUUUCGCUGAUGUCUCUUACGUGUUACCCAACAAUUACGCUGGACGUCGCGACGCGUCCGUCUUGCCCUGUUGGGAUCGUCGACGAUAUGCAAAUAUGAUGAAAUAUUGGAAAAUUUAAUGACGAUUCAUGGAAACCAUUGCAGAUCCAUGAGUUUCGUACGACGACUGUUUACAGGGGGGAAAAUAAUUAUCGUGCCUGUAAUUAUUUUUAAGCGUCCAUGAAGGCUGGUGAUAAUUAACUAUGCCAAGUAGUGGUGAAUUUUAGAUUAAGAUGCAUCGAACAGGUUAAACGAUAACUUGACUUUGUUUAGACUUACGGUUUCCAUUAGAUGGCACGUGGCUGAUAAGAAGCAAUGAUAACGAUAACGCCUAAUAUUUUGGUAACCGAUAUCGAGGACUAGUAAAUAAGUUAAGACGAGCAGCCAUUUUACUUCGACUUCCGAUCAAUCUGAAUUCUUCGGGAUCUGUUUAAAUGGAGUUAACGUAGGUUCGGGCUCGUUGCUUCUUUUUUUUAAGGCCGUUUACAUGCAACUACUUCGUGUAGUUGAGGCUAUACCCGUGGCUGGGUUAGACUGCGGAAGUACCGUGGGUUCUCGGCUUGCGACUCUCUCCUUCCGCUUCUGGAAUGUACCUAACUCCUAAUGCGAGAGAGAGAGGGAGAGGAAGCAGGAGAUACGGAAAUAAAGGAAAAAUGAAAGAGACAGUAUUACCACCUGUUGCUUUUAUCUUCCCAGCUGAAGUCGCUAUGAGGAUAACCUUACUGCGUCAGGUUUGCAGGAUCGUUUCCCAUGUCGCGAAAUUUCACAACUUCGUCGCAUUCCCAUGGAGCUACGGGCGCGGGGAGGGUGGUGGGGUUCAAGAAGGAGGGCCAAUGGUAUUUCUGGGGGGAAAGCGAAAUCCAAUUUGCGACAGAACCUUAAGUCGCUGGGACGGCCAAGCGCGGUUGUCUUUUCACCAGGGUGCUUUUUUCUCAGUUUACAGAAAGUUUGUAAACACGUGUGUAUAUGAACUUUCAUAAAAAUUUCAAAAAGGCCCGUAUCCACGAAGGAUACCCUAAGGUGCGUUUAUCUGGUGAUUUUUCGUGAAAAUAAAAGAUGAAAAAGUAGGGGGAGAAGAGAGAAUAAUAAAAAAAGACUUGCUUCACUUUCAUGAAAUUAAGCAACAAAGCGGCCGUUACCUUAUGACUGGAAUUAUUGUUGUCAAGGCGGUUCACAGACGAGCGACUGGACAAAUAGUACCGAUUAGCUCUGUUCGUGAUCCACGUUAUUCCUAAUAUUCACAUUACGGUCCUUUAAUGGACGAAGCGAAGAUUCGAAGGUUCGUCCUGGUCAGUAUUGACUCGUUUAAAAUAAUUAGCUGCGCAAAAAAAAUUACUCGACCGCAAUUCACUUUCAAAACUUUCUCGGAUAUAGCUCCGGUGUAUACCCGCACAGGCAAUGAGCAUGGCGCUGACAGUUGGUAACCGUGUUAGCUGGCGUUGGGUAGUUCGGGAUGCCGAUUAACGAAACUAAUGAAAAUAAAAAAAGGAAUCACGGCGGUUACGCAAUCGCGGGCAAACGAAAGUGCUCGCUAUGUGAAAUGACGCCUGGAAGGAACUACUUCUCGCCAUCUAGGAGGACUAAUGACAACUAAUUUCAGAUAGCAAUCGUUAAAGGUACCGCGCGCGCGCUCACGUUUCUCCCGCGAAAUAGAGAUCGGGCUUGCGAUGUAUUACCCAGAAUUCUUCGGGGUUUCUUUCGAGAGAAACAAAAUGGCGUCGCUACGUUAUUCGUUCUCACUGGAGCAUGCUGGAGGUGGGAAGCGUUCUUAAAAAUUUUACGGAAAUAAAUAUAAAGAAAAUCGGGGUCACUGGAGGUAACGUUAUAAUAUGUAAGGUUGCAAAAAAUAUCGAUAUCUUCGAAUCGAAAUCUUAUAGAUCGAUCGAUCCUACAGUUAAUUCAAAGAUAACAUACACACUCGGGACUUGUUAGUUGCGUUCACAGCACAGUUGACCUAGUCGGGCUAGUUGGCUGCGUAAUCUAAAAUUAAUUCCCAACAGCUGUUUAACCCAGGGAUAGAUCGACUGUACUGACGGGUUCUCAAAUUAAUUUUUUUCUUUCCAUACAUGUCAAGGUUAUUGCGGGACGUUUUGCGAACGCGGAUGAUUUCACACGGAAGUCAUUACGCGAGUAUAUAAAGUACUCGAAAGAAUUGUCAAUUUUUCGAAUUCAUAUGUAUAUAUAUAUAUUUUUUCCUAAGACAGCGCAGCCGCAUGCGACGUCUGGUAUCGCGAUUUGACAUUUGACUGGCCUCCUUUCUCCGGGGCUGCCACGUGCUCCUGGAUUUGGCUACGAGCGAGAAAGUAGUGUUAGAAGUUACGGCGGAUACCGACGUGAAAUUUGAAAAUACUCGAGCGGCGUCGCGACGCUCAACAAUUCAUUGUACGCGUACAAAAAUUCUGUUGGAUUUCGUAAUGAAAUUAAAAAAAAAUAUUAUCAGAUU